ACUCCCUUUCACAGAUGUGAGGCACUGGGCAGCGCUCCUCACUGCAGUUUGAUUUGUUUUCAAAACCUCUAGCAUGGGAAGAUUUAGCACGUUCAGCCGACUGGGAAACCCUGUGUGAAAACUACCUCUCUGGGCGCCCACCUUGCAGCCGCUGGCUGUGCCCAUUGGCCAGCUGAGUUCCAGAGGCUUGAGGACUGUUCACUGGAAGCUGCAAAGUGCACGCUCAUCUUCAUAUAGAACUGCACAGCAUCUCAAAGACUGCCAAGUCAACCCGGAGCACAGCAUUUGCUAAAGGAUGCCUGAUGCACCAGUAAGUGGAUCCAUCUGGCUGAUGUUCAAAAGGUGGCAGAGGGCAGAGCCUGACGCCCCUUCUCUCAGCCAGAACGCCCUUCCUACAUCUUCAGCACGGCCCUGUCAUUUGUGAAUGCAAGAGUCCCGCAGCACGGCCAUGUCAAUGGCACCCUUUCACCUUCUCCCUUCCCACCACUUCCAACGCCCAACUCUCACCCGAGGAGGAAAGCGGAGACAGGUCCACUUCUUGUGGCACAGACUCUGAGCUAGAGACCCCUGCAUGGCCUGAGGCUGUGUACGCCUGUCCACAUUUCCUCAGGCUUCACCUGAUUCACAGGACCGCCAUCACUCUGCAGGCCCAGUGAGCCACGCAGCAACAGAGUAUAAGAACACUGACCUGAGCAGAAACACUUUCCUGUCCUGUUUAUACACUAUCUCGCCUGUGUGACUACUUUCCAAAGAAAGAAAAUUCCUAAAACUAAAUGAGAUGCUGACAGAAGACUGAAUUGUUUAGGACAUGUUUGGAAACUAUUAAAAUACUCAAAUUAUUACAUAGGUAAGCAAAAUUACUCUUAAGAGACACUCUAAGUUACUACUUAGCCUCGGGGGAAGCCCUCGCUGUCAGCUGCUCAUGGCUGAGAGGCAGGUGUCCCCUGGAUUAAGUAUAGACACCAAUUUUGUCUUUUUCCAGAGGAGCCAGAAGGACCACUAACCUGGAUAGCAACUCUGCUCUGAGCACUGCCGUGCUCACAGAGGUUUUGCUCCAUUCUCAGCGCCGAACUGGGUUAAAAGGAAUGCAAUUACAACUGGCUUACACAAAGCUAUCAAGCAAAUGCAGGAGACAGUCACUACAACUAGGAUGUAGAAUUGUAAUGUGACAAAAAAUAAAUUACGUGAAAUAUAUGUCUUUAGGAACAAC
Molecule: long non-coding RNA, 1210 nt
Organism: Mus musculus (house mouse)
Lineage: Eukaryota; Metazoa; Chordata; Mammalia; Rodentia; Muridae
Product: predicted gene, 52144
Exons: 2
Source: RefSeq, a predicted model, not a curated record